This is a long non-coding RNA of Cyprinus carpio (common carp), 714 nucleotides long. RefSeq lists it as uncharacterized. The transcript has 4 exons. NCBI's taxonomy places the organism in Eukaryota, Metazoa, Chordata, Actinopteri, Cypriniformes, Cyprinidae. The record is from RefSeq and is a predicted model, not a curated record.
AAUACAGGCUUCAUGAUUUUGGUUUAAUAUAAUCAAAUCACUGUCAGCGUAAACAUGAGGUCAGUUGUACUUGGUUUGUUUCUGUGUGCUGUCCUUCCUAUGAUCAAUGCUGCGUGCUUCACUGUGGGACGCAAAACAACAGAUAAGUUUUGCCAGGACACGACAGAUAAGACAUGGCAUCCUACUGGAUCUGUUUGGAGGAACAGUAAAUGUUUAGACUGUAAUUGUUCUUCUGAGUCCAUGAGUUGCUGUGAUGCAAUGCAGAUGCCUAUUAAUUAUCCUGACAAGUGCCAAGUGGAGUAUGAUUACACUACAUGCACAUUUGAGGUGUUUGAGAAAGUUCCCUGUUCUUACACUGGCAGUGUUCUUGGUAAAUGACAGCCAUGAAUAAAGAAAAUAAAGCCAUCUUCUUUGUAUUAUCUGCUGAUGUAAAGUAUAGUAACCUGUGUUUAAUUUGAAUAACAAUAUACAUGGGAUCAUGUCAAAAUGAACACAAAAUGUUGGUCAGUGUGAAUUGGACAGGCAUUUGGGCAAUGUUGUUAAUUGCAUUUUAGGGCUGUAACCACCAUAGACAUUGCAGGGGAUAUGUUCCCCCUGUAAUUUAAUUUACAGAUACAUAGAUUUAAAUCAUAAAUCAUAUAAAUUGAAUAAUAUAAACUGAUGUAAAUUCUAAUUAAAAGUUUUAUUUAAUUUAAAUUGUACAGUUGUGUUUAU